Molecule: long non-coding RNA, 395 nt
Organism: Pan paniscus (pygmy chimpanzee)
Lineage: Eukaryota; Metazoa; Chordata; Mammalia; Primates; Hominidae
Source: Ensembl
GAACUAUUUAAUCCCACCUUGAGAUACAUACAAAUGAUGGGAAACCAUGCAGUCAUUAAAAGAACGAAGACUUGAAUAUGUUUCCAGGCUAUGUUAAAGGAGCCAACGUAUUAGCAGAGAUUUAAGAUAUUUUGUGAAGUAAGAUCAUGGAGAAGGCAGAAAUGUAGUCCAGAGAAAAUGCACAAAUAAAAAUUGAAUGCUUCUUUCUUCAAUAAAAGAAAGGCAACAGAUGAGGAUGAUUGAAGAUGGAGAUGGCAUUUUAAUUGGAAACCCAUCAUCAGAAAGACCAUCAUCUCACCAUAUUCAGAAGGUGAGAUAAGAUGAGGACCUAUGAAGGGUACACUAUUUCAACAGCUGCUACUUGGAUUGGAAUGAAAGCUGCCCACUGACUCAAG